Molecule: transfer RNA, 73 nt
Filed under: Binatia bacterium
Lineage: Bacteria; Candidatus Binatota; Binatia (SeqCode)
Description: tRNA-Thr
Rfam family: tRNA
About the family: Transfer RNA (tRNA) molecules are approximately 80 nucleotides in length. Their secondary structure includes four short double-helical elements and three loops (D, anti-codon, and T loops).
Source: RNAcentral
GCCGAUGUAGCUCAAUUGGCAGAGCGACUGACUUGUAAUCAGUAGGUUGCCAGUUCAAGUCUGGCCAUCGGCU